GUCGCAUUGGUGAAACUGGCUAACACACUCGGCUUUCUACCGAGCAUUCACGAGUUCGAAUCUCGUAUGCGAUA
This 74-nucleotide transfer RNA is filed under the name Bacillus phage Deep Blue. It matches the Rfam family "tRNA". Rfam says of the family: Transfer RNA (tRNA) molecules are approximately 80 nucleotides in length. Lineage: Duplodnaviria; Heunggongvirae; Uroviricota; Caudoviricetes; Herelleviridae. The record is from Rfam by way of RNAcentral.